UGCGCAGGCGGUGAUGUAUGUCAGGUGUGAAAUCCCGGGGCUUAACUCCGGAAGUGCGCCUGAAACUGCAUUACUAGAGGCUUGGAGGGGACAGCAGAAUUUCUGGUGUAGCGGUGAAAUGCGUAGAUAUCAGAAGGAAUACCAAUGGCGAAGGCAGCUGUCUGGACAAGAUCUGACGCUCAUGCACGAAAGCGUGGGGAGCAAAAGG
RNAcentral lists this ribosomal RNA (208 nucleotides) under uncultured bacterium. RNAcentral describes it as "partial 16S ribosomal RNA". It matches the Rfam family "Bacterial small subunit ribosomal RNA", at positions 568 to 775 of the family's 1533-position model. The record is from RNAcentral.